This 87-nucleotide transfer RNA is filed under the name Arthrobacter sp. MMS18-M83. Its description in RNAcentral is "tRNA-Ile". It matches the Rfam family "tRNA". From Rfam's summary of the family: Transfer RNA (tRNA) molecules are approximately 80 nucleotides in length. Their secondary structure includes four short double-helical elements and three loops (D, anti-codon, and T loops). The record is from RNAcentral. Lineage: Bacteria; Bacillati; Actinomycetota; Actinomycetes; Micrococcales; Micrococcaceae.
GGAGGGGUGGCCGAGUGGCCGAAGGCGCCGGACUGAUAAUUCGGUGCAGUGUAAAAGCUGUCAAGGGUUCGAAUCCCUUUCCCUCGC